RNAcentral lists this non-coding RNA (267 nucleotides) under [Bacillus] enclensis. Its description in RNAcentral is "Bacillus enclensis T-box sequence". It matches the Rfam family "T-box leader". From Rfam's summary of the family: Uncharged tRNA acts as the effector for transcription antitermination of genes in the T-box leader family. The record is from RNAcentral. Lineage: Bacteria; Bacillati; Bacillota; Bacilli; Caryophanales; Bacillaceae.
CUGUCGGCUAUGAAGAGAAGAGUAGUUGGGAUCGGUUAUUUUCAGAGAGCUCCGGUUGGUGGGAUGGAGUAAUAAUGAUCUUAAUGAAAAAAGGCUCAGAGCUUCGCACGGAUCCAGGGUUUCCCUGGUGAUACUGCGACGGGAUCUCCCGUUACAGAGAUAGGGUAUACUCAACUAUUUAUAUUUUGACGUACCCGAAGAGGUUGGUAUGGCGACAUAUCAAUAAACUGGGGUGGUACCACGGAGCAUAAUACUCUCGUCCUCAAG